Molecule: transfer RNA, 73 nt
Filed under: Lutzomyia longipalpis
Lineage: Eukaryota; Metazoa; Arthropoda; Insecta; Diptera; Psychodidae
Description: tRNA tRNA-Glu
Rfam family: tRNA
About the family: Transfer RNA (tRNA) molecules are approximately 80 nucleotides in length. Their secondary structure includes four short double-helical elements and three loops (D, anti-codon, and T loops).
Source: RNAcentral
UCCCACGUUGUCUAGUGGUUAGGAUACCUGGCUCUCACCCCAGGAGGCCCGGGUUCGAUUCCCGGCGUGGGAA